This is a long non-coding RNA of Callithrix jacchus (white-tufted-ear marmoset), 1267 nucleotides long. RefSeq lists it as uncharacterized. The record is from RefSeq and is a predicted model, not a curated record. NCBI's taxonomy places the organism in Eukaryota, Metazoa, Chordata, Mammalia, Primates, Cebidae.
GGGAUCCUUUCAAGCCCACCAAGAGGGUGGAUACAGAGCAAAAACCUCAAGAAGACGGAGGCACGAGCAACCAACUUGAGGGAGGCAGGGAAGGUUUCCAACAAAAGUCUUUUUUCCAGGCAUAUUAAACCCAUUGGGGAACAGAUCGUUCAUGGGGUGAGGAAGUUUACAGACGAUGAAGCUGAAGUACAGAGAAGUUGAGUCACUUGUCCAAGGCCACAUGCUGGCAGAUGGUGGAAUGGGGCCCUGUUGGAUGUCAGAAUCUACACUGCAUUUCAUUCCAUUUCCCUGCAGUGGAAAAUCUCUGACUUUGGAGUCAUAGAGGUCUGCGUUGGAAUCUUGGUUUGGCCAUUAACUUAUCGAGAGCCCUUAGGUUAGUGCCUUCAGCACUAGCGAGCUGUUUCCUUCUUUUGCACUGGCUGAACGUAGAAACAAAGAAGUCUCCUAUGAACUCCUCUAAAGACACUCCUGGUGUGGCCCCUUUGCAUGCACUGUCUGAUAAAUGUGGGGCAUCCUGGGAACAGCUGCAGCAUCAAUGGUAUUACACUGGGGACACUGUACAUGCCCAGUGAACACUGGCCACUGCUGUGACUAAAGAGAAAAGCCCACAAGCAAAUUUUAGAACUCCCAGCAUCUUCACCCAAUUCAAUAACCUUGAUUCUUAGUCCCCCUGGAUUCACAAUCUUGUAUUUCAAUUCUCUACCAGCGUGUUAUUCUGCAACAAGUAGAUUCCCAGGCUUGCCUUAGGAUACCUCUCUCUGAUGUAGGUGCAGACGUUUCUUUAGUUCCCAAAGAGCACAAUCCCAUGCUUGCUCCCUCAUGUGUGUGUCCCUAAUGAGUCCUAAUUAUGACGAUUCUGGAUCUGCACUCUCUUAGUGUCCUAGGGGUCUCUAAUCAGAUAAUUCCUUAUUCUUGUACCUCUAUCAGCAGUUCCAUUUCAGAAUGUCACAAUGUUAAACAUACCUGUGAUUUCAAAGUUAAGUUAUACCAAGGGUGGUCGUAAAAUUUCAUGUCCAAACCACGGCACUAUUUCAGACUAAAAGGAGAUGUUUAGUUAAAAUUCUGUAACUUGUUGAAAUAGAUUAACCAACAUUGAUUUUUACUAUCUUUUUACUAAAAUAUGGGCUUCUUUUAAGCUUUUAAAGAUGAGAUCUUUCCUACAAAAUAAAAUCUAUCUAUAUUAAAGCAGAAUAAAAGCUUUAUGUUGACAUUUAAACAUUUAAAAACAGCAAGGAGAAUAAUUAUCUUUGGUAUAUAUUCACAUCUG